RNAcentral lists this ribosomal RNA (523 nucleotides) under uncultured bacterium. RNAcentral's name for it is "partial 16S ribosomal RNA". It matches the Rfam family "Bacterial small subunit ribosomal RNA", at positions 28 to 523 of the family's 1533-position model. The record is from RNAcentral.
GACGAACGCUGGCGGCGUGCCUAAUACACGCAAGUCGAACGCUUUUUCUUUCACCGGAGCUUGCUCCACCGAAAGAAAAAGAGUGGCGAACGGGUGAGUAACACGUGGGUAACCUGCCCAUCAGAAGGGGAUAACACAUGGAAACAGGUGCUAAUACCGUAUAACACUAUUUUCCGCAUGGAAGAAAGUUGAAAGGCGCUUUUGCGUCACUGAUGGAUGGGCCCGCGGUGCAUUAGCUAGUUGGUGAGGUAACGGCUCACCAAGGCAACGAUGCAUAGCCGACCUGAGAGGGGGAUCGGCCACACUGGGACUGAGACACGGCCCAGACUCCUACGGGAGGCGGCAGUAGGGAAUCUUCGGCAAUGGACGAAAGUCUGACCGAGCAACGCCGCGUGAGUGAAGAAGGUUUUCGGAUCGUAAAACUCUGUUGUUAGAGAAGAACAAGGAUGAGAGUAAAAUGUUCAUCCCUUGACGGUAUCUAACCAGAAAGCCACGGCUAACUACGUGCCAGCAGCCGCCGUAA